Molecule: long non-coding RNA, 510 nt
Organism: Peromyscus leucopus (white-footed mouse)
Lineage: Eukaryota; Metazoa; Chordata; Mammalia; Rodentia; Cricetidae
Exons: 3
Source: RefSeq, a predicted model, not a curated record
CAAGUCAAGGCGACUUCCUUUCUUUAUCUGAAACCUGCUACUCAUCUGAGAAAGCGCAUUCCAGUCAAACUCUUCUGCAGUGCUGUGGCUACAGAAAAAGCCUCAGUCCUCGAUGCCAUUAUUGCCCCAUAAUGAACAUUUCCCCCAGAAUUUACAGAGGCGGUGUGUGGGUGUUAUCAGGGUGGACUAAGACCCUACAGUUAUUGCGACACAGUCUGCCUUACAAAGAUCUGCAACUGAACUACAUGGCAACUUGAUGAAGAUUACAACUAGUAAACUGUGAAAGGAGGAAAAGGCUCUGGAAAACCAUGUCACAAUAAUUCUACUCCACCAUAAAGGACUGUGAUGCCCACUGAUUGAAAAAAAAAAAAAACUAGUAACAUUGAAGAUGGAGAUAACAAAAUGGCUGAUGAGACAAAAAUGAUGAGGCAGAAUACAUGGAUCCAUGAAUCAAGGGUUAAAGAUGAAAAAAAAAAGUAUUUUGGAUUUUUGAAAAUGAAUAUUUUACUG